Molecule: transfer RNA, 69 nt
Filed under: Sillaginopsis panijus (flathead sillago)
Lineage: Eukaryota; Metazoa; Chordata; Actinopteri; Sillaginidae
Description: tRNA-Ala
Rfam family: tRNA
About the family: Transfer RNA (tRNA) molecules are approximately 80 nucleotides in length. Their secondary structure includes four short double-helical elements and three loops (D, anti-codon, and T loops).
Source: RNAcentral
AAGGUUUUAGCUUAAUUAAAGCGCUUGUGUUGCAAGCAGGAGAUGUUAGAUAAUACCUAGCAAGUCUUA